GGGAGGGCGACAACCGCUCCAGACAACGGCCAGUCGGCAGUUCAGGUUCCAGUGCGUCCAGCCUGAAAUAAAAUGUAGUUCGAAGGCUGAGGUUACCCACACUCGCAGUGGCCUGGGAGAUGCACGUGGCGGCGUUAUCUUUCUGGACCAGUGGCAGAGCACAGGAAAGGAAGCGACGACGAGAGGGUUUCGUUUCAGAAUACCUUGGGAAUACUGUCAUAACAGUGCAGCUCAAGUUUUAGCCCAGAUCGUCUGACUUGGAAUUUGUCUACUACUGGAAAACACAGACCACUAUACAAAGGAAACCCUAAAAGAUGGUUCAGAGCACGAUUCAAAGUGGAAAAGACUCACAUGCGGAACGUAUGCCCCAGCCCAAAUUCCAGGCCUGCAUCACAGAAGAUGAACUGUUUCAAAGGAUUCUUAAUCAUGGGGAAGAGGACAAAAUAGGUAUACCUGACAUACAAUGUUACAUCGGAUCAGAUGUAAAGGCUGGCGAUAUGACAACUCUAUAGCAUUAAUUCACUCACCACAAGGGAGCUACCAUCUGUCACCAUACGGUGCUGUUAUAAUACCACUGAAUGUAUUCCCUGUGUUGCAUCCUGUAUCACCAUGACUGACUAAUUCCAUAACUGGAACCCUGUCCUUCCCAAUUCUAUUUACCCAUAUUGCCCAUGCUCCCUCUCCAUUCCACUCUGCUGAUGUUUCUGCUUUUGUUGUUCCUGAUUGCCAUUUGUAACAAAGUAGACAGACCUAAAUGGUAUUACGCUAUGUGACGUAAGUCAAAGAAAGAUAAUAAUAAUAUGAUAUCACAGUUAUGUACAAAUCAAUCACAAAAGAGUUGCAAAAACAAGAGGAGAAACAAACC
Suricata suricatta (meerkat) is the source of this 865-nucleotide long non-coding RNA. RefSeq lists it as uncharacterized. The record is from RefSeq and is a predicted model, not a curated record. NCBI's taxonomy places the organism in Eukaryota, Metazoa, Chordata, Mammalia, Carnivora, Herpestidae. The transcript is spliced from 5 exons.